GACGAACGCUGGCGGCGUGCCUAAUACAUGCAAGUUGAGCGCUGAAGGUUGGUACUUGUCCCAACUGGCUGAGCAGCGAACGGGUGAGUAACGCGUGGGGAAUCUGCCUUUGAGCGGGGGACAACAUUUGGAAACGAAUGCUAAUACCGCAUAACAACUUUAAACACAAGUUUUAAGUUUGAAAGAUGCAAUUGCAUCACUCAAAGAUGAUCCCGCGUUGUAUUAGCUAGUUGGUGAGGUAAAGGCUCACCAAGGCGAUGAUACAUAGCCGACCUGAGAGGGUGAUCGGCCACAUUGGGACUGAGACACGGCCCAAACUCCUACGGGAGGCAGCAGUAGGGAAUCUUCGGCAAUGGACGAAAGUCUGACCGAGCAACGCCGCGUGAGUGAAGAAGGGUUUCGGAUCGUAAAACUCUGUUGGUAGAGAAGAACGUUGGUGAGAGUGGAAAGCUCAUCAAGUGACGGUAACUACCCAGAAAGGGACGGCUAACUACGUG
RNAcentral lists this ribosomal RNA (497 nucleotides) under uncultured bacterium. RNAcentral's name for it is "partial 16S ribosomal RNA". It matches the Rfam family "Bacterial small subunit ribosomal RNA", at positions 28 to 507 of the family's 1533-position model. The record is from RNAcentral.